UUAUAUUGUAAGUGAAGAUAAUGUUGAUGAAAGGGAUACUACAAUUCAUAAUCUUUCUCCUUUGCCACCCAAUUGUAGUAUCCUUUUCAUCAACAUUAUCUUCACUUACA
RNAcentral lists this microRNA precursor (110 nucleotides) under Vigna angularis (adzuki bean). Its description in RNAcentral is "pre miRNA mir-598". The record is from RNAcentral. Lineage: Eukaryota; Viridiplantae; Streptophyta; Magnoliopsida; Fabales; Fabaceae.